CCCUUAGAUGUUCUGGGCCGCACGCGCGCUACACUGACGGAGGCAGCGAGCGUGUCCUUCGCCGGCAGGUGCGGGCAAUCUUGCGAGUCCCCGUCGUGCUGGGGAUAGAUGGUUGCAAUUGUCGAUCUUGAACGAGGAAUUCCUAGUAAGCGCGAGUCAUCAGCUCGCGCUGAUUACGUCCCUGCCCUUUGUACACACCGCCCGUCGCUACUACAGAGUGCCCGUGUCCAAGAAACGGUCGGACCUGUGCGGCCUCUCCGGGCGACCGGAGGGCCGUUACGGGGAAGACCCUUUAUUUGACGCGGGUCGAUGAAGUAAAAGUCGUAACA
This 329-nucleotide ribosomal RNA is filed under the name uncultured eukaryote. Its description in RNAcentral is "partial 18S ribosomal RNA". It matches the Rfam family "Eukaryotic small subunit ribosomal RNA", at positions 1470 to 1796 of the family's 1831-position model. The record is from RNAcentral.